UGAGCAGCAGAUGCACUCGAUAGGGCUUCAUUUCCAGCAGACCACAACCUCAUGACAAAUGGACGUUCUGACUCCAGUGACAUUGACAAUCCUUCCCAGCUGCUAAGAGAGAGAAACAAGAGAUGAGAUCUUGCUAUUUUGUCAAGGAUGCGGGGCACGCAUUUUAAAUCUGCACAAAACUCUUCCGGAAGCCCAAGGCUUUGCAUGCAUUGUGAACUGAGGUGUAAGCUGAACAUACAACAGGCAGGUUUUCAUCAUUGAGGAGAGACACAUACCUGUCCAGUGGCUACAUAGUCCUUCACCGGAUGGAUGGUCAGGCUGAGAAUGUCAUCAUCGUGCCCCAGAACUAUAUAGGACAGCAAAAGGAGAGGACUGAGCAGCAUGUUCUAUGUGAGACAGGUGAAAAAUAAGUGCAGACACAAGAAAAUGGAAGUGUCUGGAGAAGAGGUAAGAAAAUCCACUAGCUAAGCAGCAUCGAGAGUCCAGAGAAAGUCUUUACCCACUCAAACAGCUUACCUUUUUUGAG
Long non-coding RNA from Mus musculus (house mouse), 526 nucleotides. RefSeq annotates it as predicted gene, 39671. The record is from RefSeq and is a predicted model, not a curated record. Lineage: Eukaryota; Metazoa; Chordata; Mammalia; Rodentia; Muridae. The transcript is spliced from 4 exons.